CAAGUCGAGCGAGAAAAGGGGAGCAAUCCUCUGAGUAAAGCGGCGCACGGGUGAGUAACACGUGGGUAAUCUGCCCUGAAGUGGGGAAUAACACCGGGAAACCGGUGCUAAUACCGCAUAUGAUCACGGUGUCUGCGGACACAGGGAUGAAAGGAGCAAUUCGCUUCAGGAGGAGCCCGCGGCUGAUUAGCUAGUUGGUGAGGUAAUGGCUCACCAAGGCUACGAUCAGUAUCCGGUCUGAGAGGACGGUCGGACACACUGGAACUGAGACACGGUCCAGACUCCUACGGGGGGCAGCAGUGGGGAAUUUUUCGCAAUGGGGGCAACCCUGACGAAGCAACGCCGCGUGGAUGAUGAAGUAUCUCGGUACGUAAAAUCCUUUCGACAGGGAAGAAACCGCAAGGUUGACGGUACCUGUAGAAGAAGCCCCGGCUAACUCCGUGCCAGCAGCCGCGGUAAUACGGGGGGGGCUAGCGUUGUUCGGAAUUACUGGGCGUAAAGGGCGCGUAGGCGGUCUGCUAAGUUGGAUGUGAAAACUCUGGGCUUAACCCAGAGCCUGCAUUCAAUACUGACAGGCUAGAGUUCUGGAGGGGAUAGCGGAAUUCCUGGUGUAGCGGUGAAAUGCGUAGAUAUCAGGAGGAACACCGGUGGCGAAGGCGGCUAUCUGGACAGAGUCUGACGCUGAGGCGCGAAAGCUAGGGGAGCAAGCAGGAUUAGAUACCCUGGUAGUCCUAGCCCUAAACGAUGGAUACUUGGUGUAACUGGGAUUGAAUCCAGUUGUGCCGAAGCUAACGCAUUAAGUAUCCCGCCUGGGGAGUACGGU
RNAcentral lists this ribosomal RNA (823 nucleotides) under uncultured Bacillota bacterium. RNAcentral's name for it is "bacterial SSU rRNA". It matches the Rfam family "Bacterial small subunit ribosomal RNA", at positions 58 to 886 of the family's 1533-position model. Lineage: Bacteria; Bacillati; Bacillota. The record is from RNAcentral.